AUUGAACGCUGGCGGCAUGCCUUACACAUGCAAGUCGAACGGCAGCGGGCCCUUCGGGGUGCCGGCGAGUGGCGAACGGGUGAGUAAUGCAUCGGAACGUACCCGGGAGAGGGGGAUAACCGGCCGAAAGGCUGGCUAAUACCGCAUGAACUCGGAAGAGCAAAGCGGGGGACCUUCGGGCCCCGCGCUCUCGGAGCGGCCGAUGUCCGAUUAGGCUAGUUGGUGGGGUAAAGGCCCACCAAGGCGACGAUCGGUAGCGGGUCUGAGAGGACGAUCCGCCACACUGGGACUGAGACACGGCCCAGACUCCUACGGGAGGCAGCAGUGGGGAAUCUUGGACAAUGGGCGCAAGCCUGAUCCAGCAAUGCCGCGUGGGUGAAGAAGGCCUUCGGGUUGUAAAGCCCUUUCGGCGGGGAAGAAAUCGGUCAGGCGAAUAGUCUGGCCGGAUGACGGUACCCGCAGAAGAAGCACCGGCUAACUACGUG
Molecule: ribosomal RNA, 485 nt
Filed under: uncultured bacterium
Lineage: Bacteria
Description: partial 16S ribosomal RNA
Rfam family: Bacterial small subunit ribosomal RNA
Source: RNAcentral